AUUGAACGCUGGCGGCAUGCUUUACACAUGCAAGUCGAACGGUAACAGGCCGCAAGGUGCUGACGAGUGGCGAACGGGUGAGUAAUGCAUCGGAACGUGCCCAGUCGUGGGGGAUAACUACUCGAAAGAGUAGCUAAUACCGCAUACGAUCUAUGGAUGAAAGCGGGGGACCGUAAGGCCUCGCGCGAUUGGAGCGGCCGAUGUCAGAUUAGGUAGUUGGUGGGGUAAAGGCUCACCAAGCCAACGAUCUGUAGCUGGUCUGAGAGGACAACCAGCCACACUGGGACUGAGACACGGCCCAGACUCCUACGGGAGGCAGCAGUGGGGGAUUUUGGACAAUGGGCGCAAGCCUGAUCCAGCAAUGCCGCGUGCAGGAAGAAGGCCUUCGGGUUGUAAACUGCUUUUGUACGGAACGAAACGGCUCUGGUUAAUACCCGGGGCUAAUGACGGUACCGUAAGAAUAAGCACCGGCUAACUACGUG
RNAcentral lists this ribosomal RNA (482 nucleotides) under uncultured bacterium. RNAcentral's name for it is "partial 16S ribosomal RNA". It matches the Rfam family "Bacterial small subunit ribosomal RNA", at positions 30 to 507 of the family's 1533-position model. The record is from RNAcentral.